CCCACAACAUCUAGCUCUGCCACACCCCCACGGAACACAGCAGUAAUAAACAUUAAGCCAUGAGCCCAACACCCACAAGCUCGACUCAGAUACAGCUAACUCCCGGCCGGUAAACUCCGUGCCAGCCACCGCGGUUACACGAAGGGCCUCAAAUAACCUCAUACGGCGUAAAACGUGACUAGAAGCCAAUUUUAAAUGCGGGACUCACAACCCAGAUAGAGCCGUAAAACGCACACAUCAAAAGGAACCUUUCCACGCCCCAUUAACAAAUCACCUUUGACUACACGAAAUCUGCGAAACAAACUAGGAUUAGAUACCCUAUUAUGCCCAGACAUAAACCCAGGCAGCAAGCCUAACUCACCAUGCCCGCCAGAGAACUACACGCACCCCAGCGUAAAACUCAAAGGACUUGACGGUGUCUCAUACCGCCCUAGAGGAGCCUGUCCUAUAAUCGAUAAUCCCCGCUAUACCUCACCCCCCAUUGCAAAGCCUCAACCUAUAUACCGCCGUCGCCAGCUCACCUUACAAAAGCCAAACAGUGUGCAAAAUAGUCCACCACUAAAAAGUCAGGUCAAGGUGUAGUUAAUUGGGCGGACAGCGAUGGGCUACAUUUUCUAGCAAAGAAGCCCCCAGCAAUAUGAAACAAUGCCAUAAGACGGAUUUAGCAGUAAAUAGAGCAAGAGCCGCUCAAUUGAAGCUCGCCCUGAGACGCGUACACACCGCCCGUCACCCUCCUCAACAACCAAAAACCAAAAUAACUAAGCCACCCCCCCCCAACAGCUACCAGAUGAGGCAAGUCGUAACAUGGUAAGUGUACUGGAAAGUGCACUUGGCAAAAU
Molecule: ribosomal RNA, 839 nt
Filed under: Gekko hokouensis
Lineage: Eukaryota; Metazoa; Chordata; Lepidosauria; Squamata; Gekkonidae
Description: partial 12S ribosomal RNA
Rfam family: Bacterial small subunit ribosomal RNA
Source: RNAcentral